This 244-nucleotide unclassified non-coding RNA is filed under the name Hevea brasiliensis (rubber tree). The record is from RNAcentral. Lineage: Eukaryota; Viridiplantae; Streptophyta; Magnoliopsida; Malpighiales; Euphorbiaceae.
AUACUAAUUGAGGGAUUCUAACACACGUACAUACUCACAAGUUUCUGUUGCACUUGUCCAUUUGGUUGUCUUACCGGUACACAUUUUUGAGCCCCUCUAGAUGACUUAUUAUCAUGGUGUAUAUUUGUACUGCUUCACUCUAGUCUUAGAUAUGUCAUGAAUUUCCCUGAUUUUGUAAUGUCCUUUAAUUAGUAGUUUGUCCAUAUGUUAUCAUUGCUCUUUGACUUUUUGCAGAUGGCUAAGG